UAUCACGUUGAAACAUCGGUUUCUGUACGAUCAACGAAGUUAAGUAACGUCAAGCCUGGUCAGUACCUAGAUGGGCGACAGUUUGGGAAUACCAGGUGAUGUAAG
Molecule: non-coding RNA, 105 nt
Organism: Acanthosepion pharaonis
Lineage: Eukaryota; Metazoa; Mollusca; Cephalopoda; Sepiida; Sepiidae
Source: the annotation of a GenBank genome assembly